This 301-nucleotide ribosomal RNA is filed under the name uncultured bacterium. RNAcentral's name for it is "partial 16S ribosomal RNA". It matches the Rfam family "Bacterial small subunit ribosomal RNA", at positions 509 to 808 of the family's 1533-position model. The record is from RNAcentral.
CAGCAGCCGCGGGAAUACGUAGGUCCCGAGCGUUGUCCGGAUUUAUUGGGCGUAAAGCGAGCGCAGGCGGUUAGAUAAGUCUGAAGUUAAAGGCUGUGGCUUAACCAUAGUACGCUUUGGAAACUGUUUAACUUGAGUGCAAGAGGGGAGAGUGGAAUUCCAUGUGUAGCGGUGAAAUGCGUAGAUAUAUGGAGGAACACCGGUGGCGAAAGCGGCUCUCUGGUCUGUAACUGACGCUGAGGCUCGGAAGCGUGGGGAGCGAACAGGAUUAGAUACCCCCGUAGUCCCUGUCUCUUAUACA